AUUACCUACGGGACGCAGCAGUGGGGAAUAUUGGGCAAUGGGCGCAAGCCUGACCCAGCAAAGCUGCGUGAAGGAAGAAGGCUUUCGGGUUGUAAACUUCUUUUGACAGGGAAGAGCAGAAGACGGUACCUGUCGAAUAAGCCACGGCUAACUACGUGCCAGCGGCCGCGGUAAUACGUAGGUGGCAAGCGUUGUCCGGAUUUACUGGGUGUAAAGGGCGUGUAGCCGGUCUGACAAGUCAGAUGUGAAUUCCGGGGGCUCAACCCCCGAACUGCAUUUGAAACUGUUGGUCUUGAGUAUCGGUG
This 305-nucleotide ribosomal RNA is filed under the name uncultured bacterium. RNAcentral's name for it is "bacterial SSU rRNA". It matches the Rfam family "Bacterial small subunit ribosomal RNA", at positions 334 to 654 of the family's 1533-position model. The record is from RNAcentral.